AUACGGAGGGUGCAAGCGUUGUUCGGAAUUACUGGGUGUAAAGCGCGUGCAGGCGGUAAGGUAAGUCAGAUGUGAAAGCCCCGGGCUCAACCCGGGAAGUGCAUUUGAUACUGCCUUUCUUGAGUAUGGGAGAGGAGAGUGGAAUUCCCAGUGUAGAGGUGAAAUUCGUAGAUAUUGGGAGGAACACCCGUGGCGAAGGCGACUCUCUGGACCAAUACUGACGCUGAGACGCGAAAGCGUGGGGAGCGAACAGGAUUAGAAACCCCAGUAGUCC
Molecule: ribosomal RNA, 274 nt
Filed under: uncultured bacterium
Lineage: Bacteria
Description: partial 16S ribosomal RNA
Rfam family: Bacterial small subunit ribosomal RNA
Source: RNAcentral